CAGCACAAUUCACACAAAUCAUUUCAUUUGUUUUUAAUGUCCCAACAACAUAAAAAGCUUCAUUUACUCAAUAUCAUGUGAAUGUGCAAAAUUCUAAAGUAAACACCAACUUGUACAUCAAGUUACUGCCUUAAAAUGCUCCGGAGUUUGUUUUUUUUCUCCUCUCACUACAUCCUAUCUACUACAUCCAUAAUGUGCACCAUAGACAAUUUUGACGUUUCUCUUUACUGAGAAAAGAGCAAGAGAUUCUUAUGUGAAACACAAAACAUAGGGAGGCUGUUGGGCGUCAGAUGGGUGAUAGUAAACGUAUGCAUUUAACAUGUAGAGAGCUUUAAUGAAUUCUUCAGUCAAAUGUAUAAAUUUGAUGAACAGUUCUUCUGUUUCCUCAGGAUUGUGGACAGAUAUUAAUAAACCUCAGGGAAAAUAUCCUCUUGUUUCUGCUCAGAUCUCAGCAUGUCUGGUAGACAUCUCAUCAUGGAGGUCAGCUCAUCAGCUGAAACUUAAUCCCAACUAAACUGAACUGCUGUUCAUCCCAGCUGAUUCAUCACCAUGUCUGGACAACUUUCUUGUCCCACCUUCAAGUACUGCACACAACCUUGGGGUGACCAUGAACAAUCAACUGUGCUUUUCCUCUCUCAUUGCUAAUCUGACCUGCUCAUGUCGAUUUCUCCUUUGCAACAUCAGAAGGACUCGUCCAUUUCUGUCCAUACGGGCCAUUCAGGUGCUGGGUCAGUGUCUUGUCAUUUUGAGACUGGACUACUGCAACUCACUCCUGGCAGGUCUGUCUCGGAGUGCCAUUUGACCUCUGCAACUGAUCCAGAAUGCAGCUGCUCGCCAUGUUUUCAACCUUCCUAACUUUUCCCACACCACCCCAUUGUUACGCUCCCUCCACUGGCUUCCUGUAGCUAACCCGCAUCAGAUUUAAAUCUAUGAUGCGUGUUUACAGAGCCAAAAAUGGACCAGCACCCAUUUACCUCAAAUCACUUAUCACACCAUGCACUGCACCACACUCCCUCCGAACCUCUAGCACCGCUACACUAGUGCCAUCAUCUCUCAGGGUACAACUAAGGCGUGCAUCAAGAUUCUUCUCUGUUCUGGCAUCUAGGUAACUUCCCCUAGAUGUCGGACAUCUAAAGACGUCCUCUUUCUAAAGCAGGGGUGUCCAAUCUUAUCCGCAAAGGACCUGUGUGGGUGUACGUUUUCAUUCCAAUCAAACAGGAGCCACACCUGAUUCCACCUGUUUAAUCAGUUGAGCUUGGCUUUCAGUAGAUUCAGGUGUGGCUCUUGCUUGGAUGGAAUGAAAACCUGAACCCCACACCGGCCCUUUGUGGAUAAGAUUGGACAUCCCUGUCCUAAAGUAUUUAAAUGAGC
Ictalurus punctatus (channel catfish) is the source of this 1371-nucleotide long non-coding RNA. Lineage: Eukaryota; Metazoa; Chordata; Actinopteri; Siluriformes; Ictaluridae. The record is from Ensembl.